This 193-nucleotide ribosomal RNA is filed under the name uncultured bacterium. RNAcentral describes it as "partial 16S ribosomal RNA". It matches the Rfam family "Bacterial small subunit ribosomal RNA", at positions 1307 to 1500 of the family's 1533-position model. The record is from RNAcentral.
GCAACUGCCUGCAUGAAGUCGGAAUUGCUAGUAAUCGUAGGUCAGCAUACUACGGUGAAUACGUUCCCGGGCCUUGUACACACCGCCCGUCAAACCAUGAGGGCCGGUAAUACCCGAAGUCCGUAGCCUAACCGCAAGGAGGGCGCGGCCGAAGGUAGGACUGGUAAUUAGGGUGAAGUCGUAACAAGGUAGC